Molecule: non-coding RNA, 23 nt
Filed under: Cricetulus griseus (Chinese hamster)
Lineage: Eukaryota; Metazoa; Chordata; Mammalia; Rodentia; Cricetidae
Source: RNAcentral
AAAGGAUAACACUGAAAGAUGUG